This 84-nucleotide transfer RNA is filed under the name Felis catus (domestic cat). It matches the Rfam family "tRNA". From Rfam's summary of the family: Transfer RNA (tRNA) molecules are approximately 80 nucleotides in length. Their secondary structure includes four short double-helical elements and three loops (D, anti-codon, and T loops). Further hydrogen bonds mediate the characteristic L-shaped molecular structure. tRNAs have two regions of fundamental functional importance: the anti-codon, which is responsible for specific mRNA codon recognition, and the 3' end, to which the tRNAs corresponding amino acid is attached (by aminoacyl-tRNA synthetases). tRNAs cope with the degeneracy of the genetic code in two manners: having more than one tRNA (with a specific anti-codon) for a particular amino acid; and 'wobble' base-pairing, i.e. permitting non-standard base-pairing at the 3rd anti-codon position. The record is from Rfam by way of RNAcentral. Lineage: Eukaryota; Metazoa; Chordata; Mammalia; Carnivora; Felidae.
GCCUGGGUGCUCAGUCAGUUAAGCAUCUGACUUCAACUCAGGUCAUGAUCUCUCAGUUCGUGGGUUCAAGUCCCACGUCGGGCU